CCUACGGGAGGCAGCAGUGGGGAAUAUUGGACAAUGGGGGAAACCCUGAUCCAGCGACGCCGCGUGUGUGAAGAAGUAUUUCGGUACGUAAAGCUCUAUCAGCAGGAAAGAAAAUGACGGUACGUGACUAAGAAGCUGCGGCUAACUACGUGCCAGCAGCCGCGGUAAUACGUAGGGGGCAAGCGUUAUCCGGAUUUACGGGGUGUAAAGGGAGCGGAGACGGCAGAGCAAGACUGGAGUGAAAUGCCCGGGCCCAACCCCGGAACUGCUCAGGAAACUGUGAGGCUGGAGUGCAGGAGAGGGAGGCGGAAUUCCUGGUGUAGCAGUGAAAUGCGUAGAUAUCAGGAGGAACACCGGCGGCGAAGGCGGCUUACUGGACUGUAACUGACGUUCAGACUCGAAGGCGUGGGGAGCAAACAGGAUUAGAUACCCCAGUAGUC
This 440-nucleotide ribosomal RNA is filed under the name uncultured bacterium. Its description in RNAcentral is "partial 16S ribosomal RNA". It matches the Rfam family "Bacterial small subunit ribosomal RNA", at positions 338 to 795 of the family's 1533-position model. The record is from RNAcentral.